UACGGGAGGCAGCAGUGGGGAAUAUUGCACAAUGGGCGCAAGCCUGAUGCAGCCAUGCCGCGUGUAUGAAGAAGGCCUUCGGGUUGUAAAGUACUUUCAGUCGUGAGGAAGGUGUUAAGGUUAAUAACCUUAGCAAUUGACGUUAGCGACAGAAGAAGCACCGGCUAACUCCGUGCCAGCAGCCGCGGUAAUACGGAGGGUGCGAGCGUUAAUCGGAAUUACUGGGCGUAAAGGGCACGCAGGCGGUUAAUUAAGUUGGAUGUGAAAUCCCCGGGCUUAACCUGGGAAUGGCAUUCAAGCUGGUUAGCUAGAGUCUUGUAGAGGGGGUAGAAUUCCAUGUGUAGCGGUGAAAUGCGUAGAGAUGUGGAGGAAUACCGGUGGCGAAGGCGGCCCUUGGACAAAGACUGACGCUCAUGUGCGAAAGCGUGGGGAGCAAACAGGGAUUAGAUACCUU
RNAcentral lists this ribosomal RNA (454 nucleotides) under uncultured bacterium. RNAcentral's name for it is "bacterial SSU rRNA". It matches the Rfam family "Bacterial small subunit ribosomal RNA", at positions 340 to 788 of the family's 1533-position model. The record is from RNAcentral.